RNAcentral lists this unclassified non-coding RNA (377 nucleotides) under uncultured Corynebacteriaceae bacterium. Its description in RNAcentral is "contains 16S-23S intergenic spacer region". The record is from RNAcentral. Lineage: Bacteria; Bacillati; Actinomycetota; Actinomycetes; Mycobacteriales; Corynebacteriaceae.
UCCGAGUUAACCUCGGCAGUCUCUCAUGAGUUCCCACCAUUACGUGCUGGCAACAUAAGACAAGGGUUGCGCUCGUUGCGGGACUUAACCCAACAUCUCACGACACGAGCUGACGACAACCAUGCACCACCUGUAUACAAACCACAAGGGGGGCUAUAUCUCUACAGCUUUCUUGUAUAUGUCAAGUCCAGGUAAGGUUCUUCGCGUUGCAUCGAAUUAAUCCACAUGCUCCGCCGCUUGUGCGGGCCCCCGUCAAUUCCUUUGAGUUUUAGCCUUGCGACCGUACUCCCCAGGCGGGGCGCUUAAUGCGUUAGCUACGGCACAGAAGACGUGGAAGUCCCCUACACCUAGCGCCCACCGUUUACGGCAUGGACUAC